RNAcentral lists this ribosomal RNA (1457 nucleotides) under metagenome. RNAcentral describes it as "bacterial SSU rRNA". It matches the Rfam family "Bacterial small subunit ribosomal RNA". The record is from RNAcentral.
AGAGUUUGAUCCUGGCUCAGGAUGAAUGUUGGCGGCGCGUCUAAGGCAUGCAAGUCGAACGGAUCAUUAGUUGUAGCAAUAUGAUGAAUGAUUAGUGGCAAACGUGUGCGUAACACAUUGGUAACCUACCUCGAAGACGGGUAUAACCCCCCGAAAGGGGGACUAAUUCCCGAUAGACAUGGGGGGACAUAAGUCAUUCCCAUGUAAAUACUUCGGUGCUUCGAGAGGGGCCUAUGGUCUAUCAGCUUGUUGGUGAGGUAACGGCCCACCAAGGCUAUGACGGAUAGGGGGUGUGAGAGCACGACCCCCCUCACUGGGACUGAGACACUGCCCAGACACCUACGGGUGGCUGCAGUCGAGAAUCUUCCCCAAUGGCCGAAAGGCUGAGGGAGCGACGCCGCGUGCAGGAUGAAGGGCUUCGGCUCGUAAACUUUUUUUUAGGGACGAACGAUGACGGUACCUAAAGAAUAAGGGGUUGCUAACUCUGUGCCAGCAGCAGCGGUAAUACAGAGACCUCAAACAUUAUCCGGAUUUAUUGGGCGUAAAGGGUCCGUAGGCGGUCCGAUACGUCAGUGGUCAAAUCUCGAGGCUUAACCUCGGGACUGCUACUGAUACGGUCAGACUAGAGCACGGGAGAGGUAAGCGGAAUUGCCGGUGUAGUAGUAAAAUGCGUUAAUAUCGGCAAGAACACCAAAUGCGAAGGCAGCUUACUGGAACGUCGCUGACGCUCAGGGACGAAAGCGUGGGUAGCGAAAGGGAUUAGAUACCCCUGUAGUCCACGCCCUAAACGAUGAAUGCUAGAUGUCGGGAGUAUCGACCCUCCCGGUGUCGGUGAAACAAGUUAACACGUUAAGCAUUCCGCCUGGGGAGUACGGCCGCAAGGCUAAAACUCAAAGGAAUAGACGGGGACCCGCACAAGCGGAGGAGCAUGUGGUUUAAUUCGACGAUAAGCGAGGAACCUUACCUGGGCUUGAAAGACAGCUGCAAACCACCCGAAAGGGAGGUCGCUUUCGAAGGUGCUGUCUAGGUGCUGCAUGGUUGCCGUCAGCUCGUGUCGUGAGAUGUACCGUUAAGUCGGAUAACGAGCGCAACCCCUAUUUCGUGUUGUAUAUCACGAGAGACCGCCCCGGAUAACGGGGAGGAAGGCGGGGAUGACGUCAAAUCAGCAUGGCUCUUACGUCCAGGGCGACACACGUGCUACAAUGGCAAUGACAAAGGGUCGCCAAGCCGCAAGGCGGAGCUAAUCCCACAAACAUUGCCCCAGUUCGGAUUGAGGGCUGCAACUCGCCCUCAUGAAGUUGGAUUCGCUAGUAAAUGCGCAUCAGCCACGGCGCAUUGAAUACGUUCUCGGGUCUUGUACUCACCGCCCGUCACACCAAGAGAGUCGGAAAUACCCGAAGGUCCCGUUAAGGGAACGAAGGUAGAGUCGAUGAUAAGGGUGAAGUCGUAACAAGGCA